GUGAUUUCCUCACGCAGCUGUUUUUGUAGUUGAAUAUGCUAAACAUAUUGUGGCAAGCAUAGUUAAUGAUGCAACGGUUAUCUCUUGGCCAGAAAAUUGACUUGUUACGCUUCUUUCCUAGUGCUUUUGUCCAUUUGUUCACUGUUAUGUGAUCCAAACCCAGAUGACCCACUAGUGCCAGAGAUAGCUCGCAUCUACAAAACAGAUAGAGAAAAGUACAACAGAAUAGCCCGGGAAUGGACUCAGAAGUAUGCCAUGUGAUGCUACUACAAGAAAAGUCUGAAUAAACCUGCAUUAUAGCUGGAAUAAACUGUAAAUUACUGUUAUCUUUUUGGUUUUCUUAUUUGGCUGCUCCCUUUCAGACUCUAUUCCCCUGCCUCCAAUUCAUGCACAUGCUCUGUGGAGAUCAUAGCUCUUCUAGCUUUGGAAAAUGGCUUAUUGAGUAAUCGUUACCUGAAUAAUGGUCCAAGAUACGGAACUAAACCUGGAGCAUGUAUUAAGUGGCCAAUGUCUUCACCAUAAGUUGGUUAUAAAACUAAAACCAUCCCACAUUGCUCAAGCAGAUGCUGACAGUGUUGCUUAAAACUAAACCGUGGACGGAUGCACUCUGAUCACAUCACACUUGGAUGACUUUACCAGGACAGAGACUUCAUUUUAAGCUGUCUGUAAGAGAUUGAGGUUUCGUAAUGUGCUUUAUACUCGCAACUGGUGAAUCAGAGAAUUGGUACAGUUCAUAAUCUCAACAUAUUCAAAAUGUGAUCUAUUUUAUGCAUGUUAAUAAAGGAAUAACAAGUUUUGUUUAUUCCACCAAAUGAGAAAUGGAAGAAAAACUCCCCCGAACUUAAACUAGGGUCAGGAACAUUUUGUAAUUUUCAUUUAAAAGGUUUUUGUUUUUUAGGAGGUUGGAGCUAUUAGUUAAUCUAUCUUCCAAACACUUUCCCAUAGCACUGAUUUAAAAAAAUGAUGCAAGCUGUCAAUGGUUGAAUGAUCAACUAAUAGCUCUUGCUAGAUAUUGAUUUAUUUUCCUCAAUAAAGUUACAUAAACCUGUA
Molecule: long non-coding RNA, 1050 nt
Organism: Protopterus annectens (West African lungfish)
Lineage: Eukaryota; Metazoa; Chordata; Ceratodontiformes; Protopteridae
Exons: 2
Source: RefSeq, a predicted model, not a curated record